This 379-nucleotide ribosomal RNA is filed under the name uncultured eukaryote. RNAcentral describes it as "partial 18S ribosomal RNA". It matches the Rfam family "Eukaryotic small subunit ribosomal RNA", at positions 592 to 976 of the family's 1831-position model. The record is from RNAcentral.
CAAUAGCGUAUAUUUAAGUUGUUGCAGUUAAAAAGCUCGUAGUUGGAUUUCGGAUGGGAUUUGCCGGUCCGUCGUUACGAUGUGCACUGGCCAGUCCUAUCUUGUUGUCGGGGACUAGCUCCUUGGAUUCACUUCCUGGGACUAGGAGCUGACGAGGUUACUUUGAGUAAAUUAGAGUGUUCAAAGCAAGCCUACGCUCUGAAUACAUUAGCAUGGAAUAACACGAUAGGACUCUGGCUUAUCUUGUUGGUCUGUGAGACCAGAGUAAUGAUUAAGAGGGACAGUCGGGGACAUUCGUAUUUCAGUGUCAGAGGUGAAAUUCUUGGAUUUAUGAAAGACGAACUUCUGCGAAAGCAUUUGUCAAGGAUGUUUUCAUUAA